AAUUGGAAUGAGUACACCUUAAAUCGUUUAACGAGUAUCAAUUGGAGGGCAAGUCUGGUGCCAGCAGCCGCGGUAAUUCCAGCUCCAAUAGCGUAUAUUAAAGUUGCUGCAGUUAAAAAGCUCGUAGUUGGAUCUGGGGCUUGAGGUCGCUGUCUAUCGUUUCGGCGAUGACGGUGAUGCUCAGCUCUGCUUGCCGGUGACUGUUGCGGUGUUCUUAAUUGAGCGCUGUAGCAGCACGGCACGUUUACUUUGAAAAAAUUAGAGUGCUCAAAGCGUGCUUGUCGCUUGAAUAAUGUUGCAUGGAAUAAUGGAAUAGGACCUCGGUUCUAUUUUGUUGGUUUUCGGAGCUUGAGGUAAUGAUUAAGAGGGACGAACGGGGGCAUUCGUAUUGCGGUGUUAGAGGAGAAAUUCUUGGAUCGCCGCAAGACGGACUACUGCGAAAGCAUUUGCCAAGAACGCUUUCAUUAAUUAAGAACGAAAGUCAGAGGUUCGAAGACGAUCAGACACCGUCCUAGUUCUGACCAUAAACGAUGCCGACCAGCGAUCCGUAGUGGUUGCUUUAUGGACCCUACGGGCAGCCUCCGGGAAACCAAAGUAUUUGGGUUCCGGGGGAAGUAUGGUUGCAAAGCUGAAACUUAAAGGAAUUGACGGAAGGGCACACCAGGAGUGGAGCCUGCGGCUUAAUUUGACACAACACGGGAAAACUCACCCGGUCCGGACACCGUAAGGAUUGACAGACUGAUAGCUCUUUCUUGAUUCGGUGGAUGGUGGUGCAUGGCCGUUCUUAGUUGGUGGAGUGAUUUGUCUGGUUAAUUCCGAUAACGAACGAGACUCUAGCCUGCUAAGUAGUGUGUCUAUUGUGAUAUGGUAUACACUUCUUAGAGGGACAAGUGGCAUUUAGCCACGCGAAAUUGAGCAAUAACAGGUCUGUGAUGCCCUUAGAUGUCCGGGGCCGCACGCGCGCUACACUGGAGAAGUCGGCGUGUGUUAUCCAAGUCCGAAAGGAUUGGGUAAUCCGUUGAACCUUCUUCGUGCUUGGGACUGUGGCUUGGAACUAUUCCACAUGAACGAGGAAUUCCUAGUAAGUGCAAGUCAUUAGCUUGCGUUGAUUACGUCCCUGCCCUUUGUACACACCGCCCGUCGCUACUACCGAUUGAAUGGUUUAGCAAGGUCCUCGGAUCGUGGACGUAGGGGCACGCAAGUGUUUCUGCGUUUUGCGAGAAGACGACCAAACUUGAUCAUUUAGA
RNAcentral lists this ribosomal RNA (1247 nucleotides) under metagenome. RNAcentral describes it as "SSU rRNA". It matches the Rfam family "Eukaryotic small subunit ribosomal RNA", at positions 507 to 1777 of the family's 1831-position model. The record is from RNAcentral.